Molecule: ribosomal RNA, 253 nt
Filed under: uncultured prokaryote
Description: partial 16S ribosomal RNA
Rfam family: Bacterial small subunit ribosomal RNA
Source: RNAcentral
AACGGGGGGGGCGAGCGUUAUUCAUAAUCAUUGGGCGUAAAGAGCAUGCAGGCUGUUGAUUAAGUUCAAAUUUAAAUUUCAAAGCUUAACUUUGACACAAGUUUGAAAACUGAUCAACUCGAGUCCCAUAAAGGAUAGUGGAAUUUCUGGUGGAGAGAUUAAAUUCAUAGAUCCCAGAAGGAAGACCAACGGCCGAGGCAACUAUCUUGGUGGAGACUGACGCUGAUGUGCGAAAGCAUGGGGAGCAAACAGG